Molecule: ribosomal RNA, 253 nt
Filed under: uncultured bacterium
Lineage: Bacteria
Description: partial 16S ribosomal RNA
Rfam family: Bacterial small subunit ribosomal RNA
Source: RNAcentral
UACGUAGGGUGCGAGCGUUGUCCGGAAUUACUGGGCGUAAAGAGUUCGUAGGCGGUUUGUCGCGUCGUUCGUGAAAACUUGGGGCUUAACUCCAAGCGUGCGGGCGAUACGGGCAGACUUGAGUACUACAGGGGAGACUGGAAUUCCUGGUGUAGCGGUGAAAUGCGCAGAUAUCAGGAGGAACACCGGUGGCGAAGGCGGGUCUCUGGGUAGUAACUGACGCUGAGGAACGAAAGUGUGGGGAGCGAACAGG